CCCUUAGAUGUUCUGGGCCGCACGCGCGCUACACUGACGAAUGCAACGAGCUUAUAAUUAUAACCUUGGCCGAAAGGUCUGGGUAAUCUCCAAAUUUCGUCGUGAUGGGGAUAGAUUAUUGCAAUUAUUAAUCUUCAACGAGGAAUGCCUAGUAAGCGCAAGUCAUCAGCUUGCGUUGAUUACGUCCCUGCCCUUUGUACACACCGCCCGUCGCUCCUACCGAUUGAAUGGUCCGGUGAAGCGUUCGGACCGUGGCCUUUGGACGGUUCGCCGUCUGUUGGCUGCGGGAAGUUCGUUAAACCUUAUCAUUUAGAGGAAGGAGAAGUCGUAACA
Molecule: ribosomal RNA, 333 nt
Filed under: uncultured eukaryote
Lineage: Eukaryota
Description: partial 18S ribosomal RNA
Rfam family: Eukaryotic small subunit ribosomal RNA
Source: RNAcentral